UUAGAAAACAGGUGCUGCACGGCUGUCGUCAGCUCGUGUCGUGAGAUGUUGGGUUAAGUCCCGCAACGAGCGCAACCCUCGUUCUUAGUUACUAACGGUUCGGCCGAGGACUCUAAGAAGACUGCCUUCGCAAGGAGGAGGAAGGUGAGGACGACGUCAAGUCAUCAUGGCCCUUACGGCCAGGGCAACACACGUGCUACAAUGGGUAGGACAAUGAGACGCGAUACCGCGAGGUGGAGCAAAUCUAUAAACCUACUCUCAGUUCGGAUUGUAGUCUGCAACUCGACUACAUGAAGCUGGAAUCACUAGUAAUCGUAGAUCAGCUAUGCUACGG
Molecule: ribosomal RNA, 334 nt
Filed under: uncultured bacterium
Lineage: Bacteria
Description: bacterial SSU rRNA
Rfam family: Bacterial small subunit ribosomal RNA
Source: RNAcentral